Molecule: transfer RNA, 85 nt
Organism: Felis catus (domestic cat)
Lineage: Eukaryota; Metazoa; Chordata; Mammalia; Carnivora; Felidae
Rfam family: tRNA
About the family: Transfer RNA (tRNA) molecules are approximately 80 nucleotides in length. Their secondary structure includes four short double-helical elements and three loops (D, anti-codon, and T loops). Further hydrogen bonds mediate the characteristic L-shaped molecular structure. tRNAs have two regions of fundamental functional importance: the anti-codon, which is responsible for specific mRNA codon recognition, and the 3' end, to which the tRNAs corresponding amino acid is attached (by aminoacyl-tRNA synthetases). tRNAs cope with the degeneracy of the genetic code in two manners: having more than one tRNA (with a specific anti-codon) for a particular amino acid; and 'wobble' base-pairing, i.e. permitting non-standard base-pairing at the 3rd anti-codon position.
Source: Rfam
GCCUGGGUGGCUCAGUGGGUUAAGCAUCUGGCUUUGGCUCAGGUCAUGAUCUCACCUUUCGUGGGUUCAAGCUCCACCUCAGACU